Molecule: non-coding RNA, 24 nt
Filed under: Arabidopsis thaliana (thale cress)
Lineage: Eukaryota; Viridiplantae; Streptophyta; Magnoliopsida; Brassicales; Brassicaceae
Source: RNAcentral
GUGGAAGCCAGAUCAUCAACCUCC